UCCUCAUGCCAGUGAGAAAUGCCCUAAAACAGUAUAAACGGAGCAGGUAUCAGGCACAAUUACUAGCCCAAGACACCAGGCUUUGCCACACCCACACGGGUCAUCAGCAGUGAUAAACAUUAAGCAAUGAGCGAUAUAUACCAAACCACUUUAAAGCUUGACUUAGUUAUGAUUAAAUAGGGCCGGUAAACCUCGUGCCAGCCACCGCGGUUAUACGAGGGGCCCAAAGUAGCAGAUUCGGCGUAAAUAGUGGUUAGAAUUCAUACCAACACAUUAAAAACUAAACCACAUCCUAACCGUAAAACACAGGAUAUAUGAAAUCACACAUUUUUAAUAAGAGGUAAUUUGACCCACGAAAACUAAGAAACAAACUAGGAUUAGAUACCCUACUAUGCUUAGUCGUUAAUAUGAUAUUACACCACCAAAAUAUCCGCCAGAAAAUUACGAGCGAAAAGCUUAAAACUCAAAGGACUUGGCGGUGCUCCAUACCGACUUAGAGGAGCCUGUCCUAUAAUCGAUACCCCACGAUAAACCAAACCAAUCUUUGCCUGUUCAGCCUAUAUACCGCCGUCGCCAACCUACCUCAUGAGAGAAAAGCAGUAAGUACAAAAGUUCUAACAACUAAAACGUCAGGUCAAGGUGUAGCUAAUAGAAUGGAAGAGAUGGGCUACAUUUUUUAAGAUAAAACAUACGGCAUGGUACUAUGAAAUUUCUACCUGAAGGAGGAUUUAAUAGUAAAAAUAACAAGAAAGUUAAUUUUAAACACG
Molecule: ribosomal RNA, 767 nt
Filed under: Sceloporus licki
Lineage: Eukaryota; Metazoa; Chordata; Lepidosauria; Squamata; Phrynosomatidae
Description: partial 12S ribosomal RNA
Rfam family: Bacterial small subunit ribosomal RNA
Source: RNAcentral